Helianthus annuus (common sunflower) is the source of this 559-nucleotide long non-coding RNA. RefSeq lists it as uncharacterized. The record is from RefSeq and is a predicted model, not a curated record. The transcript is spliced from 4 exons. NCBI's taxonomy places the organism in Eukaryota, Viridiplantae, Streptophyta, Magnoliopsida, Asterales, Asteraceae.
CACACCUUACAGAGUGAAAGAUACCGCGCAGAGAGAGAUACGGGAGCCAUUCAAUGGUUGCGACGGCCGACGGACUCUACAAUUGCCAUUCAUCACCAAGUUUUGGUUCAAAGUCCCCCUUCUAACCUAAAACACAACCCCUGACCCUCAUUUUCAUCAAGCGCCGCUCUUCACCAAACCCUAACGUUCUUCACCAGAGCCACCGCCUCCCUCACCCCGCCGCAUAAUUCUCUCCGUCAUCAUCACGACCACCGCCUCUCUCACCACCAAACACGAAGACAACGGUGAUUCACACGACUGGGUUCUGAUUGGAGUUUCAAGGACAACAUAUAUUGAACCGAUUUGGAGUUGCUAGGGUUUCGGUAUGAAAAAUCAAGAAUCUCUUCUUAAAAUCAAAUCUAUAGAAGCAAGAAGCUUGAUGAUUCUGGUCGAGGUGAACAUUGCAACCAUGGAGAGGUUAUGGUUUUUGGUGUCAAGAAAGCUCGACAUACCGGAUUAUCGGUAUCUUUAAAGUCACCUGGUGAUGAUGGGAGACUAGGCGAGUAGGAGGCGAUCGAUA